Molecule: ribosomal RNA, 301 nt
Filed under: uncultured bacterium
Lineage: Bacteria
Description: partial 16S ribosomal RNA
Rfam family: Bacterial small subunit ribosomal RNA
Source: RNAcentral
CAGCAGCCGCGGGAAUACAGAGGGUGCGAGCGUUAAUCGGAUUUACUGGGCGUAAAGCGUGCGUAGGCGGCUUUUUAAGUCGGAUGUGAAAUCCCUGAGCUUAACUUAGGAAUUGCAUUCGAUACUGGGAAGCUAGAGUAUGGGAGAGGAUGGUAGAAUUCCAGGUGUAGCGUUGAAAUGCGUAGAGAUCUGGAGGAAUACCGAUGGCGAAGGCAGCCAUCUGGCCUAAUACUGACGCUGAGGUACGAAAGCAUGGGGAGCAAACAGGAUUAGAUACCCCUGUAGUCCCUGUCUCUUAUAC